RNAcentral lists this ribosomal RNA (488 nucleotides) under Yersinia sp. 01WB02.3-65. RNAcentral's name for it is "bacterial SSU rRNA". It matches the Rfam family "Bacterial small subunit ribosomal RNA", at positions 21 to 497 of the family's 1533-position model. Lineage: Bacteria; Pseudomonadati; Pseudomonadota; Gammaproteobacteria; Enterobacterales; Yersiniaceae. The record is from RNAcentral.
GGCUCAGAUUGAACGCUGGCGGCAGGCCUAACACAUGCAAGUCGAGCGGCAGCGGAAAGUAGCUUGCUACUUUGCCGGCGAGCGGCGGACGGGUGAGUAAUGUCUGGGGAUCUGCCUGAUGGUGGGGGAUAACUACUGGAAACGGUAGCUAAUACCGCAUAACGUCGCAAGACCAAAGUGGGGGACCUUCGGGCCUCACGCCAUCGGAUGAACCCAGAUGGGAUUAGCUAGUAGGUGGGGUAACGGCUCACCUAGGCGACGAUCCCUAGCUGGUCUGAGAGGAUGACCAGCCACACUGGAACUGAGACACGGUCCAGACUCCUACGGGAGGCAGCAGUGGGGAAUAUUGCACAAUGGGCGCAAGCCUGAUGCAGCCAUGCCGCGUGUGUGAAGAAGGCCUUCGGGUUGUAAAGCACUUUCAGCGAGGAGGAAGGGGUGGGCGUUAAUAGCGCUUAUCAUUGACGUUACUCGCAGAAGAAGCACUCGGC